GUGUCAGCAGCCGCGGUAAUACGUAGGAGGCGAGCGUUGUCCGGAUUUACUGGGCGUAAAGGGCGCGCAGGCGGCCUUGCAAGUAGCGUGUGAAAUCCACCUGCUCAACGGGUGGGGUGCAUGGUAGACUGCAGGGCUAGAGGACGGUAGAGGGGGGUGGAAUUGCUGGUGUAGCGGUGAAAUGCGUAGAGAUCAGCAGGAACACCCGUGGCGAAGGCGGCCCCCUGGGCCGUACCUGACGCUGAGGCGCGAAGGCUAGGGGAGCGAACGGGAUUAGAAACCCGAGUAGUCC
RNAcentral lists this ribosomal RNA (292 nucleotides) under uncultured bacterium. Its description in RNAcentral is "partial 16S ribosomal RNA". It matches the Rfam family "Bacterial small subunit ribosomal RNA", at positions 505 to 796 of the family's 1533-position model. The record is from RNAcentral.